UGGGUUCGACUCCCGGUA
RNAcentral lists this non-coding RNA (18 nucleotides) under Arabidopsis thaliana (thale cress). Lineage: Eukaryota; Viridiplantae; Streptophyta; Magnoliopsida; Brassicales; Brassicaceae. The record is from RNAcentral.